This 253-nucleotide ribosomal RNA is filed under the name uncultured bacterium. Its description in RNAcentral is "partial 16S ribosomal RNA". It matches the Rfam family "Bacterial small subunit ribosomal RNA", at positions 524 to 776 of the family's 1533-position model. The record is from RNAcentral.
UACGUAGGGUGCAAGCGUUAAUCGGAAUUACUGGGCGUAAAGCGUGCGCAGGCGGUUAUAUAAGACAGAUGUGAAAUCCCCGGGCUCAACCUGGGAACUGCAUUUGUGACUGUAUAGCUAGAGUACGGUAGAGGGGGAUGGAAUUCCGAGUGUAGAGGUGAAAUUCGUAGAUAUGCGGAGGAACACCGAUGGCGAAGGCAAUCCCCUGGGCCUGCACUGACGCUCAUGCACGAAAGCGUGGGGAGCAAACAGG